CCUACGUGCGGCAGCAGUGGGGAAUAUUGGGCAAUGGGCGCAAGCCUGACCCAGCAACGCCGCGUGAAGGAAGAAGGCUUUCGGGUUGUAAACUUCUUUUGUCAGGGAAGAGUAGAAGACGGUACCUGACGAAUAAGCCACGGCUAACUACGUGCCAGCAGCCGCGGUAAUACGUAGGUGGCAAGCGUUGUCCGGAUUUACUGGGUGUAAAGGGCGUGUAGCCGGGUUGACAAGUCAGAUGUGAAAUCCUUCGGCUUAACCGCAGAACUGCAUUUGAAACUGUUGAUCUUGAGUACUGGAGAAGGAGACGGAAUGCCUGGUGUAGCGAUGAAAUGCGUAGAUAUUAGGAGGAACACCAGUGGCGAAGGCGGUCUGCUGGACAGCAACUGACGGUGAGGCGCGAAAGCGUGGGGAGCAAACAGGAUUAGAUACCCUAGUAGUC
Molecule: ribosomal RNA, 442 nt
Filed under: uncultured bacterium
Lineage: Bacteria
Description: partial 16S ribosomal RNA
Rfam family: Bacterial small subunit ribosomal RNA
Source: RNAcentral